RNAcentral lists this ribosomal RNA (253 nucleotides) under uncultured bacterium. Its description in RNAcentral is "partial 16S ribosomal RNA". It matches the Rfam family "Bacterial small subunit ribosomal RNA", at positions 524 to 776 of the family's 1533-position model. The record is from RNAcentral.
UACGGAGGGGGCGAGCGUUAUUCGGAAUCAUUGGGCGUAAAGGGCGCGUAGGCGGCCUGAUAAGUCAAAGGUGAAAUCCCUCGGCUCAACUGAGGAACUGCCUUUGAAACUGCCAGGCUUGAGGCCGGGAGGGGGUGGCGGAAUUCCCAGUGUAGCGGUGAAAUGCGUAGAUAUUGGGAGGAACACCAGUGGCGAAGGCGGCCACCUGGACCGGUUCUGACGCUGAUGCGCGAAAGCGUGGGGAGCAAACAGG